UCUAGGGUAGAAUCCGCCAAGCUUUGAGAGAAGGCUGUGACUGCUGUGCUCUGGGCGCCAGCUCACUCCAGGGAGUGAUGGGAAUCCUGUCAUUCUUACCUGUCCUUGCCACUGAGAGUGACUGGGCUGACUGCAAGUCCCCCCAGCCUUGGGGCCAUAUGCUUCUGUGGACAGCUGUGCUAUUCCUGGGCACUGUUCUAGGACUUGGAGACUUAUCAGUGAACAUGACUGACAGCCUUCCUGACCGGAAAUACGGGGUCAAUGAACUUAUUGUGAAGCAAUAAGUACACCGGCUCCUGUUGCUGGGACACCUGCAGCUCCCCCAAAGGCUGUGCUGAAACUCGAGCCCCAGUGGAUCAACGUGCUCCAGGAGGACUCUGUGACUCUGACAUGCCGGGGGACUCACAGCCCUGAGAGCGACUCCAUUCAGUGGUUCCACAAUGGGAAUCUCAUCCCCACCCACACGCAGCCCAGCUACAGGUUCAAGGCCAACAACAAUGACAGCGGGGAGUACACGUGCCAGACUGGCCAGACCAGCCUCAGCGACCCUGUGCAUCUGACUGUGCUUUCCGAGUGGCUGGUGCUCCAGACCCCUCACCUGGAGUUCCAGGAGGGAGAAACCAUCGUGCUGAGGUGCCACAGCUGGAAGGACAAGCCUCUGGUCAAGGUCACAUUCUUCCAGAAUGGAAAAUCCAAGAAAUUUUCCCGUUCGGAUCCCAACUUCUCCAUCCCACAAGCAAACCACAGUCACAGUGGUGAUUACCACUGCACAGGAAACAUAGGCUACACGCUGUACUCAUCCAAGCCUGUGACCAUCACUGUCCAAGCGCCCAGCUCUUCACCGAUGGGGAUCAUUGUGGCUGUGGUCACUGGGAUUGCUGUAGCGGCCAUUGUUGCUGCUGUAGUGGCCUUGAUCUAUUGCAGGAAAAAGCGGAUUUCAGCCAAUCCCACUAAUCCUGACGAGGCUGACAAAGUUGGGGUGAGUGAUCCCAGCCA
RNAcentral lists this small RNA (996 nucleotides) under Pan troglodytes (chimpanzee). Its description in RNAcentral is "processed transcript". Lineage: Eukaryota; Metazoa; Chordata; Mammalia; Primates; Hominidae. The record is from RNAcentral.